This 2877-nucleotide long non-coding RNA is filed under the name Amborella trichopoda. RNAcentral describes it as "long non-coding RNA (ATRI_LNC001905)". The record is from RNAcentral. Lineage: Eukaryota; Viridiplantae; Streptophyta; Magnoliopsida; Amborellales; Amborellaceae.
UUUAUCAGGGAUUAGGUUUGGUUGUUGCAAGAAUCCACAUGCUCCUCUCUUUUUAUGACUGUGUCACCUUGUUUAUAUAAUGUUUAUCCCUAAUUGCGAAGAUAUUGCUGCAUCUGCAUAUGACUGUGUCACCUUGUUUAUAUAAUGUUUAUCCCUAAUUGCGAAGGUAUUGCUGCAUCUGCAUCUUCCACUUCCACUUAUGGGGGGUUGGGGAGAUGGGUUCCAAUUGUCCACUAUCUUGUACAAAGAGGAACGGAGGUAUUGCCAACCCCGUCUGGGAGGGGCGGCUGCCAACACACCUCCCUUUUUGGUGGGAGCAGGAACCAAUCAUUGGUGGGCUCCCAUGCCAAUAAUGCAUGGAAUAGUAUACAAAGAGGCAUAUGCUUUUAGUACAAGGAGGUUACAAUCUCUCUCAUCCAUCAGAUUUCAAAUUGGGUGGUUGUGUAUUAUUGACUAAACUCAAAGUUCAAAAUUUUUUUUGUCGAACUUUGUGACACGCCCCAAGCCAUCCAAUUUGACAUUAACUUCUAGUAGGAAUUGUGACCUCCUUGUAUCAAAGAUAAAUCCCCUAGCACAUAGUGCAACUAUAUUGAUUGAAAGAAGUCGAUCAUUGUUUCAAUAAAUAGUUAGAGUUACUGUUAAUUAAUCUUGAAGGGUUUGAAUCCAUUCAUAUUUGAUCUUGAUGGGAGCCUAUUGUCCUCCAUGCCAAAGGAAGGUAACAAUCCUUCCCUUCCUUCCCCCCACCUAGACAAAAAUAACAAAACUAAAAGUCUCUAUCGAUAGGAGGCCGGGUAUUGAUAGCCUCUAGGGGGACAGACUAGUCUCCCUCCAUGUUUUGCGUUUUAUCCAGAUGGGACCAACUGCCAGGUGGUCCCAAUCCCUACAAACUAGGGAUGUGGGGGAUUUAGAUGCCCUCUACUGGGCAUGACUGCUACUAGACCCAUACUUCUCUUUUUAUGAUUGUGUUGCCAUAAACAGAAGCCUUGUGGCUCAGCUAGCCCUUCAUAUUUACAGGAAAACUUAAGAAACUGUAAGAUACGUGUAAAAUGAAAAUAGAACGAUCAUCAUCAUCAUCAUUUUAGCUUUUUUCCAAUUAAUUGGAGUGAAAAUAGAACGAUAAUAUACUUAUGAAAUAGGAAAAUGGACUAAAGGGGUUAUACAAGCAUGUAAUGAAAAUGGCUAUGGAAGAGUGGGAUUUUCUUCAUUAGGCAAGGCCAAUAGUGAGAAUGAACUAAAGGACGUACUUUGUACUAUUUCUUUUGAGAGAAGUUCAACUUGUAUUAAUAUGUUAAUAAUUCCAAAAUCUAGCGAGAGGUUGGAUUACAUAUUCAAGCAUUGUAAAACAUACCCAGGUCUUCAAAAAAGAAGAAAAAAGUGGCACUCAUUUUGAUGUUUGAAUGUCUGCCACUGCGCUGUUUUUUGUGUUCCCCCUUGCAAUGACAAAAGUUCCCCUGCCUAAAAUGUGGUUAACAAUAGUGUGGGACUGUAAUUUGUGUCUGAAAAUUAUUGCAAAAAGGUGUACGUACUUUACCCUUCUUGAAGAUUGUUGGCAAAUUCCUAUAUAUAUCCCGGUCUAUCAACGUCCUCCUUGUUUGCAUCUCAUACCAUCUAGUAAAGCAAGAGCAAGGCAGCACAAAGGGAUGGCAGAUUCAUGGGGAAGCCACCUGAUAACAAUGUAACUUGAAGGCAAUCUCCCUUAACAAACUAGGGGAGCCAAGACUGGAAUCGGCUGUCCUGAGAGCCAUAAAUAUAUGUGAGAGCCUUAGCCAAAGUCAUAUCACGCAUAUCUAAUGGGCCAUAGAAAGAAAUCAAACUUCCCCAUGCUGUCCUAAAGGAGUUCUGCUGCUUUUGCUGGAAUGAAACUCCCAUGGUAACACCCAUCAAAAUCAAGCUUCAAUAGCAGUUUAGGGGUGACUAGUUGGUAGGGAGCUCUCUAUCCAUUCUAACUAAAUUCCUUGCUUGUAAUUUAGAUAUACCAUGUUGUACAAUGUCAUGUGAAUAGCUUUAUAGGAAGUUCUAGAAAACUGAAUUGCGUAUCAGUGAAGUUUAUCACCUUCUUACAAUCUUAAAAGAGAGUAUUCAAGGGGAAACUAUGCCCAAUUUUGGAUUCUGGCUUAAGUUGCAUGCUCAAUUAAACCAAACUAUGCUCUAUAUGAAUUCAUUCUCUGCAUGCAUUCGAGCCAUCUGAUUUCAAGAAGAUUAGAACUAGACGUACAAUAAUUAAUGAAGUGAUUUCAUGAAGUGUACUCACAUUUCUAGCUCCAUUCGUUUUGCAUUCAAAAUCUUUUGUCCAGAGGACACCUGCAUAACAAUUUUGUAAUUUUAGUUUCAUCAAUACAAUAUAAGUUUGUUACUUGUAAUAAAAGAAAGAGGAGUUCAUCAGUCAACCUUUGCCAAUGCUGAUUAUUAUGAGCCAUGGCAGUGCACAUGAUCGGUAAAUGUGCAAGUUUCAUAUUUAGGAGUUGACUUUGGUGCAUGCCCUUGUUAGUCGUCAUACUUAUCUCAGUGGCAGAAUGGCAUAAGAUUGAUACACAACUUUGGCACCAUUUGAUUUCCAGGCCAAAUUGCAAUUUGGGCUUCUUCGAAAAUUUCACCUUCAGUUUGACCUGGCGUUGGUUAAUUUUCAAAUUUGAAUGAUUCCCAAUUGUAGGUGGACUCCAAAUUGAUUUUUUUUGCAAAACAUCUGCGAGUUUUGCAAAAACUUCACUCUCUCUCUCUCUCUCUCUCGCUCGUGCGUAUACACAGCGCAAUCUUUUGGAUGUGCAUGCAGACAGUGCAACCUCUCUCUACAUACACACACAAUGCAAAUGGACCAAACUUAAAAUUUCUGUGUUAUUUGUUUCUUACUGUUAACGAAGUGAGAUUGUAAUAUCUUUU